CGCGUUCUGAGGUCGGAGUGUCUUUGUUGAACUCAGUUUUCUUGCUUGAAGGGAUUUAUGUCACACCAAUUUGGAAAUUCAACAUUGUAGGAUCUAACUAAUGCUUCCAGCUGGAGUUUUCAUCGAUGGAUAUCGUCACAAGUGGGAUGCAUGUGACCACAGGAUACAUUGAAUCGUAUAAAGACAACUAGUAAUAUUUGCUUACGAGUGGCAACAAGUAUAUCUUUUUUUUCAACGAGUAUCAAGGGGCACGGUAGUGCCCAGCCAAGUUCUCUAGCAACUUUGGCACUACACCCUUAUUUACAGGAAACAACUCAGGCCAUUUUCGACCCCCCUCUAACUUCCACACCAAAGAUGCCAGAAUAUUCAAACUCGCUGGCCGAUCCUAAAUUCCUCACAAAAUUUCAGCUUUUUACGAUGAGUAGUUUCUAAAAUAUAGGACUUCAAAAAUCGCGAAAACUAUAACUAACUCACUGACAGAUCAUCAAAAUUAUGGAGAACUUUCCGCUGUCGUAGAAACUUGAAAGGACCAUGGGCACUUUUGUAUGGACUUUGGGCCCAUUUUCAACAUUGCUCAACAGUGAUGAAACGCAUAUCAAAUGAAAGGUCUUGAAGAGUACUUUAAUUUAUUAUAUGGGAAUAAAGUCGAAAACGAGCGCAAAAGUGGUGUUUUUGACCAUUUUAUAAAAUAGUACUUAAAAUGAAAAAAACAUAUUAAAAAAAAGUGGCAACACUAACUAUAAAGUGUUUCACCUUUUUCAAAAGCUAGACAUCCCACCUUUAAUCUAGUAUUAAAAUAAAGUUAUUUCUAUUAUUAGUUUUCGAAAAAAAUGAUUUAUUAAUAAAAAAUUGUAAAAAAUAAGGUAAAAUCAAAAUAUUUAGUACUACUUUUUUUCACUUUUUGUGAAAUAAAGCUCUAAAAUGACUUUUUUAAUUCA
Molecule: long non-coding RNA, 938 nt
Organism: Episyrphus balteatus (marmalade hoverfly)
Lineage: Eukaryota; Metazoa; Arthropoda; Insecta; Diptera; Syrphidae
Exons: 3
Source: RefSeq, a predicted model, not a curated record